UGGGGAAUUUUCCGCAAUGGGCGAAAGCCUGACGGAGCAAUGCCGCGUGGAGGUAGAAGGCCCACGGGUCGUGAACUUCUUUUCUCGGAGAAGAAGCAAUGACGGUAUCUGAGGAAUAAGCAUCGGCUAACUCUGUGCCAG
Molecule: ribosomal RNA, 141 nt
Filed under: uncultured bacterium
Lineage: Bacteria
Description: partial 16S rRNA
Rfam family: Bacterial small subunit ribosomal RNA
Source: RNAcentral